RNAcentral lists this ribosomal RNA (1127 nucleotides) under Bacillus zhangzhouensis. RNAcentral describes it as "bacterial SSU rRNA". It matches the Rfam family "Bacterial small subunit ribosomal RNA", at positions 49 to 1161 of the family's 1533-position model. The record is from RNAcentral. Lineage: Bacteria; Bacillati; Bacillota; Bacilli; Caryophanales; Bacillaceae.
CUAUACUGCANGUCGAGCGGACAGAAGGGAGCUUGCUCCCGGAUGUUAGCGGCGGACGGGUGAGUAACACGUGGGUAACCUGCCUGUAAGACUGGGAUAACUCCGGGAAACCGGAGCUAAUACCGGAUAGUUCCUUGAACCGCAUGGUUCAAGGAUGAAAGACGGUUUCGGCUGUCACUUACAGAUGGACCCGCGGCGCAUUAGCUAGUUGGUGGGGUAAUGGCUCACCAAGGCGACGAUGCGUAGCCGACCUGAGAGGGUGAUCGGCCACACUGGGACUGAGACACGGCCCAGACUCCUACGGGAGGCAGCAGUAGGGAAUCUUCCGCAAUGGACGAAAGUCUGACGGAGCAACGCCGCGUGAGUGAUGAAGGUUUUCGGAUCGUAAAGCUCUGUUGUUAGGGAAGAACAAGUGCGAGAGUAACUGCUCGCACCUUGACGGUACCUAACCAGAAAGCCACGGCUAACUACGUGCCAGCAGCCGCGGUAAUACGUAGGUGGCAAGCGUUGUCCGGAAUUAUUGGGCGUAAAGGGCUCGCAGGCGGUUUCUUAAGUCUGAUGUGAAAGCCCCCGGCUCAACCGGGGAGGGUCAUUGGAAACUGGGAAACUUGAGUGCAGAAGAGGAGAGUGGAAUUCCACGUGUAGCGGUGAAAUGCGUAGAGAUGUGGAGGAACACCAGUGGCGAAGGCGACUCUCUGGUCUGUAACUGACGCUGAGGAGCGAAAGCGUGGGGAGCGAACAGGAUUAGAUACCCUGGUAGUCCACGCCGUAAACGAUGAGUGCUAAGUGUUAGGGGGUUUCCGCCCCUUAGUGCUGCAGCUAACGCAUUAAGCACUCCGCCUGGGGAGUACGGUCGCAAGACUGAAACUCAAAGGAAUUGACGGGGGCCCGCACAAGCGGUGGAGCAUGUGGUUUAAUUCGAAGCAACGCGAAGAACCUUACCAGGUCUUGACAUCCUCUGACAACCCUAGAGAUAGGGCUUUCCCUUCGGGGACAGAGUGACAGGUGGUGCAUGGUUGUCGUCAGCUCGUGUCGUGAGAUGUUGGGUUAAGUCCCGCAACGAGCGCAACCCUUGAUCUUAGUUGCCAGCAUUUAGUUGGGCACUCUAAGGUGACUGCCGGUGACAA